This 332-nucleotide ribosomal RNA is filed under the name uncultured bacterium. RNAcentral's name for it is "bacterial SSU rRNA". It matches the Rfam family "Bacterial small subunit ribosomal RNA", at positions 568 to 898 of the family's 1533-position model. The record is from RNAcentral.
CGUGUAGGCGGCUCGGUAAGUCCGCUCUGAAAGCCCGGGGCUCAACCCCGGGAGGCGGGCGGAUACUGUCGGGCUAGAGUCCGGAAGAGGCGAGUGGAAUUCCUGGUGUAGCGGUGAAAUGCGCAGAUAUCAGGAGGAACACCAAUGGCGAAGGCAGCUCGCUGGGACGGUACUGACGCUGAGACGCGAAAGCGUGGGGAGCAAACAGGAUUAGAUACCCUGGUAGUCCACGCCGUAAACGAUGGGCACUAGGUGUGGGGGGUGUCGACUCCCUCCGUGCCGACGCUAACGCAUUAAGUGCCCCGCCUGGGGAGUACGGCCGCAAGGCUAAA